This 427-nucleotide RNase P RNA is filed under the name Aphanothece sp. CMT-3BRIN-NPC111. RNAcentral describes it as "RNase P RNA component class A". It matches the Rfam family "Bacterial RNase P class A". From Rfam's summary of the family: Ribonuclease P (RNase P) is a ubiquitous endoribonuclease, found in archaea, bacteria and eukarya as well as chloroplasts and mitochondria. Lineage: Bacteria; Bacillati; Cyanobacteriota; Cyanophyceae; Chroococcales; Aphanothecaceae. The record is from RNAcentral.
GAGAGUAGGCGCAGGUGGUUGCGGACUCGCUUUUAAAGUGGGUCUGAGGAAAGUCCGGUCUCCCGAAAGACCAAACCUGCUGGGUAACGCCCAGUGCGAGCGAUCGUGAGGAUAGUGCCACAGAAACAUACCGCCGCUUAAUAGUUAUAAGUGCUAAGUUUUGAGUUAAUUCAAAACUCAAAACUCAAAACUCAAAACUAUUGCGGUAAGGGUGCAAAGGUGCGGUAAGAGCGCACCAGCAGCAUCGAGAGGUGCUGGCUCGGUAAACCCCGGUUGGGAGUAAGGAAGGAACUACGGUUGGUCUUUUACCAGUUCCGUAAAAAACCCGCUAGAGGCGUCUGGUAACAGGCGUCCCAGAUAGAUAACCGCCGCUUUGGUUGUAACUCAACUAAGGUAACAGAACCCGGCUUAUGACCGACUCUCUCCC